This 486-nucleotide ribosomal RNA is filed under the name uncultured Microbacterium sp. RNAcentral describes it as "bacterial SSU rRNA". It matches the Rfam family "Bacterial small subunit ribosomal RNA", at positions 8 to 507 of the family's 1533-position model. The record is from RNAcentral. Lineage: Bacteria; Bacillati; Actinomycetota; Actinomycetes; Micrococcales; Microbacteriaceae.
AGAGUUUGAUCCUGGCUCAGGAUGAACGCUGGCGGCGUGCUUAACACAUGCAAGUCGAACGGUGAAGCAGAGCUUGCUCUGUGGAUCAGUGGCGAACGGGUGAGUAACACGUGAGCAAUCUGCCCCUGACUCUGGGAUAACAGCUGGAAACAGCUGCUAAUACCGGAUACGAGACGUGAAGGCAUCUUCAACGUCUGGAAAGAAUUUCGGUCAGGGAUGAGCUCGCGGCCUAUCAGCUAGUUGGUGAGGUAACGGCUCACCAAGGCGUCGACGGGUAGCCGGCCUGAGAGGGUGACCGGCCACACUGGGACUGAGACACGGCCCAGACUCCUACGGGAGGCAGCAGUGGGGAAUAUUGCACAAUGGGCGAAAGCCUGAUGCAGCAACGCCGCGUGAGGGACGACGGCCUUCGGGUUGUAAACCUCUUUUAGCAGGGAAGAAGCGAAAGUGACGGUACCUGCAGAAAAAGCACCGGCUAACUACGUG